This 445-nucleotide ribosomal RNA is filed under the name uncultured bacterium. RNAcentral describes it as "partial 16S ribosomal RNA". It matches the Rfam family "Bacterial small subunit ribosomal RNA", at positions 354 to 796 of the family's 1533-position model. The record is from RNAcentral.
GUGAGGAAUAUUGGGCAAUGGGCGCAAGCCUGACCCAGCCAUGCCGCGUGAAGGUAGAAGGCCCUAUGGGUUGUAAACUUCUUUUAUACGGGAAGAAACUUCCGAACGUGUUCGGAAUUGACUGUACCGUAGGAAUAAGCAUCGGCUAACUCCGUGCCAGCAGCCGCGGUAAUACGGAGGAUGCAAGCGUUAUCCGGAUUUAUUGGGUUUAAAGGGUGCGUAGGCGGAAUGAUAAGUCAGUGGUGAAAGCCUGCGGCUUAACCGUAGAACUGCCAUUGAUACUGUUGUUCUUGAGUAUAGUUGAGGUGGGCGGAAUGUGUAAUGUAGCGGUGAAAUGCUUAGAUAUUACACAGAACACCGAUUGCGAAGGCAGCUCACUAAGCUGUUACUGACGCUGAGGCACGAAAGCGUGGGGAGCAAACAGGAUUAGAUACCCCAGUAGUCC